This 664-nucleotide unclassified non-coding RNA is filed under the name Mesorhizobium sp. RNAcentral's name for it is "partial 16S-23S ribosomal RNA intergenic spacer". The stretch from base 155 to 228 matches the Rfam family "tRNA". Lineage: Bacteria; Pseudomonadati; Pseudomonadota; Alphaproteobacteria; Hyphomicrobiales; Phyllobacteriaceae. The record is from RNAcentral.
AACAAGACAGAAGAUAGUCAAUCUUACUGUCGUGCAUACCUAAAGCGGGUCUGCCGCCUUCGUUUCUCUUUCUUCGCGAAUGACUAACCUCCCUUUGGCUAAGCCCACAAGGCGUGCCUUGCCGGUGCAAUUGGUGCCAGCAGGGUUCGGUUUAGGGCUUGUAGCUCAGUUGGUUAGAGCGCGCGCUUGAUAAGCGUGAGGUCGGAGGUUCAAGUCCUCCCAGGCCCACCAUUUCCUCCGCCCGCAUGAUCCCAGAAAGUUGCAGACUUUUUGGAUAAGGUUAUGCGUUUGGGACAUGAAGGUUAUCAGGGGCCGUAGCUCAGCUGGGAGAGCGCCUGCUUUGCAAGCAGGAUGUCGUCGGUUCGAUCCCGUCCGGCUCCACCAACACGCAAUCCGCAGGAUUGUCGUGGACCGCGACGAUCCUUAGGGAUCGCGCGUAGGUGUAGAGUAGAGAUGGUUGCCGGUGGUUGGUCAUUCGAAAAUGAGUUUGCGUCGAGCCUAGUGCUCUGCGCCUGUUCUGUUUGACAUCGUAAAGAGAAGAUUUGUUCGAACUUCAUGGUCCGCAAGGAUCAUGAUUUGUCGCAAGAGACGCUCAAUCUCUUGCAUAUGAUGGGUAAGCCUAACCGCGCCCUCGAACCGAUCUCGAGAAGCUGGUCUUUUUGUG